UACGAGCCGUACAAACGUUAUUCGGAAUCACUGGGCUUAAAGGGUGCGUAGGCGGCCAUGUAAGUGAGGUGUGAAAUCCCUCGGCUCAACCGAGGAACUGCGCUUCAUACUGCAUGGCUUGAGGGAGACAGGGGUAAGCGGAACUGAUGGUGGAGCGGUGAAAUGCGUUGAUAUCAGCAGGAACACCGGUGGCGAAAGCGGCUUACUGGGUCUCUUCUGACGCUGAGGUACGAAAGCUAGGGUAGCGAACGGG
Molecule: ribosomal RNA, 253 nt
Filed under: uncultured bacterium
Lineage: Bacteria
Description: partial 16S ribosomal RNA
Rfam family: Bacterial small subunit ribosomal RNA
Source: RNAcentral